RNAcentral lists this long non-coding RNA (218 nucleotides) under Lathyrus oleraceus (garden pea). RNAcentral describes it as "Pisum sativum (pea) long non-coding RNA (PSAT_LNC017547)". The record is from RNAcentral. Lineage: Eukaryota; Viridiplantae; Streptophyta; Magnoliopsida; Fabales; Fabaceae.
CCUCUUUGAUUUUAUUUUUAUUUUUAAUUGGCUUAGUUUAUAUUUGGUUAUUUUUCUUAAUUUUUUUAUUAAUUCCAAAAUCUAAUAUCAAAUACAAAAUACUACCUUUAUUUCAGUUAAUAAAAAUUACUUCUUUUUUCAUGUAAAUCCAUAAUACAUAUUUAUCUUUUCACUAAAAUUCAGUAAAUAUGAGAAAUAAUAGAUUUUUUUUUUCUAAU